RNAcentral lists this ribosomal RNA (625 nucleotides) under Enterococcus faecium. RNAcentral describes it as "bacterial SSU rRNA". It matches the Rfam family "Bacterial small subunit ribosomal RNA", at positions 38 to 634 of the family's 1533-position model. The record is from RNAcentral. Lineage: Bacteria; Bacillati; Bacillota; Bacilli; Lactobacillales; Enterococcaceae.
GGCGGCGUGCCUAAUACAUGCAAGUCGUACGCUUCUUUUUCCACCGGAGCUUGCUCCACCGGAAAAAGAAGAGUGGCGAACGGGUGAGUAACACGUGGGUAACCUGCCCAUCAGAAGGGGAUAACACUUGGAAACAGGUGCUAAUACCGUAUAACAAUCGAAACCGCAUGGUUUUGAUUUGAAAGGCGCUUUCGGGUGUCGCUGAUGGAUGGACCCGCGGUGCAUUAGCUAGUUGGUGAGGUAACGGCUCACCAAGGCCACGAUGCAUAGCCGACCUGAGAGGGUGAUCGGCCACAUUGGGACUGAGACACGGCCCAAACUCCUACGGGAGGCAGCAGUAGGGAAUCUUCGGCAAUGGACGAAAGUCUGACCGAGCAACGCCGCGUGAGUGAAGAAGGUUUUCGGAUCGUAAAACUCUGUUGUUAGAGAAGAACAAGGAUGAGAGUAACUGUUCAUCCCUUGACGGUAUCUAACCAGAAAGCCACGGCUAACUACGUGCCAGCAGCCGCGGUAAUACGUAGGUGGCAAGCGUUGUCCGGAUUUAUUGGGCGUAAAGCGAGCGCAGGCGGUUUCUUAAGUCUGAUGUGAAAGCCCCCGGCUCAACCGGGGAGGGUCAUUGGAAACU